GCUGGAUGUGGUGGCGGGCACCUGUAAUCCCAGCUACUUGGGAGGCUGAGGCAGGAGAAUCGCUUGAACCCAGGAGGUGGAGGUUGCAGUGAGUUGAGAUUGUGCCAUUGCACUCCAGCCUGGGUGACAGAGCGAGACUCUGUCUCAA
RNAcentral lists this non-coding RNA (148 nucleotides) under Nomascus leucogenys (northern white-cheeked gibbon). The record is from Rfam by way of RNAcentral. Lineage: Eukaryota; Metazoa; Chordata; Mammalia; Primates; Hylobatidae.